UGGCUCAGUGGUAGAGUGCUUGCCUUGCAUGCAUGAGGCCCUAGGUUCCAUUCCUUG
This 57-nucleotide transfer RNA is filed under the name Dipodomys ordii (Ord's kangaroo rat). It matches the Rfam family "tRNA", at positions 8 to 63 of the family's 71-position model. From Rfam's summary of the family: Transfer RNA (tRNA) molecules are approximately 80 nucleotides in length. Their secondary structure includes four short double-helical elements and three loops (D, anti-codon, and T loops). The record is from Rfam by way of RNAcentral. Lineage: Eukaryota; Metazoa; Chordata; Mammalia; Rodentia; Heteromyidae.